AAGGUCGAAGCCGCACCCGAAACGAGAGACUUAGGGUGGUCGUAUUACACGACUUUGAUAGGGCGGGCGUGUAAGCAUGAAGCUUCGGCGACAUGCGAGCGCACCGCUACUAAAUCCUAACAUCACAAGCUC
Molecule: ribosomal RNA, 132 nt
Filed under: Microcaldota archaeon
Lineage: Archaea; Nanobdellati; Microcaldota
Description: partial 23S ribosomal RNA
Rfam family: Archaeal large subunit ribosomal RNA
Source: RNAcentral